Molecule: long non-coding RNA, 2452 nt
Organism: Gadus chalcogrammus (walleye pollock)
Lineage: Eukaryota; Metazoa; Chordata; Actinopteri; Gadiformes; Gadidae
Exons: 4
Source: RefSeq, a predicted model, not a curated record
CUAGCUUGGGAGCUAACUCAACACCAACGUUAGCCUACCAAACAGAUGAAGUGUCUGCCCCUCCGGUGUCGUCUGUUGAUAACACCGCGCCCCUUCUUUUCCCCUGCUCUUCGUUUGGUUUAUUCUACCAUCGCUUCUACACAACAGAUCGAUUAAAUGUGUUUUUAAACUUACAUAUCUUCCCCCGCAGGCUCUGUAAGACCCGAAUCCUCACGUCGUCUUCUUCCGCCAUGGUCUGAUGUGACUGCCGCUGUAGCCUCGGUACAUUCAACGAUGUCUUAUCAUAUCCGUUUAUGAAUGCGAGCAGGGCCAGCCCAUACCAAAUCGUCACUAGGUGGACUCAUGCACACUUUUCCAGCGAGGUCUGAGAAAAAAACGUUUCGGUUCCGUAAAAUGUCUCGCUGGGCGUUCAAUUUAACUUUUCUUAUAAACCCUCGUGGACUUCAUAUCAAGAUUUAUUCGACGUUUUUGGUGUUAACGCGACGAGCGCAAUUGAACUGGCGGCAGGGGAGGGGACGUACACUACAGUUGACCAAGAAAAACACUGUCGCUGUUUGAAGAUGAAAGCAGAUCUUUUGUUUUGGAAUGCGGUUCUUGGAAGGAUUUUGUCGCAACAGACGGGAAGCCAGCCUUUCCUUCCAUCUUCGGUGCAGUGUUUCCUGUACAAGUACCCGUUCCUUCCUCAUUGCAUCUGAGGAGCCGCUUUCCAUGCAGUUGUUGCAGACGUAAUCUCCACCGCCAGGCACCUCCCCGGGUGGACCCUGUUCUCCACACGUCCGACAGAAACACGGAUGGGAACCAAUUACAUGGGCCCUCAAGCCGGACUCUGUGAUGAAGGAGCUGUCGCAGAUGUCACAUUUGUAGGAGGCUCUUGGCGAACGGUUCCUGAUGUUGCAUUGUGUGUCCGUGCUGUUGGCUGAGGUACUAUUGUCUGUUGCCAGGCUUCUCCUCUCUGGGUAUCCCUCUUUGGCUGGAGCUCUGGCUACUGAAGUUGGAGGUAAAGAAUAUUGUUGAUCUUUUCUGUGUUUGAAUCUCAUCUUCUUCUUUUUUUUUUUUGCUUUAUAUGAAUAGUAGGGACGCCAGGAUUUGUCGGCGGCUUCGUGGUCAUUGGGAUCUUCGUAUGUCUCGGCCUCUUUUACAGCUGAGAUUUCCAUUUGAGUUUGAAGCCUGGCACUACCAGAGCUAUCCUCAGUUGAAAACCACUCACCUGGGGUCUCCCUUUGUCUGCUUUUCUUCCUCUUCCUGGGGAACAGAUUUGAACCCUUGAUUUGACGCCUGAUAAUGGCCUCGUUCCCUAUUUUGACUGUGAUCUGACAGAGUGGCAGAGCAUCCCCAUCCACAGAUGGACCUGGACAAACAGGCUUAGCGAGGUUGCUUCAUGAUUUCCAAUUGAAUACAUCACAGAAAACAACAGGCAGCCAACUGCAUGCAGCCAAUUUUACAUAGACAGCAGUUGGUGAGUCAUCCGUUUCCGUUUUAAUAGCCCUUUCUUUCAAUCAUUACUGGUACACAGCAAAAGAGACACAUUGAUUCUCCCACCCACAUAUCUGUAUCAGAUCAAACAGAUACAGCAAUGAACUUAAUAACAUACAAAAGUUGUUGUUAGUGAUUAACAUUGUGAUAACAAUGAAUUUAAAAGCCAUAGAUUAAUAGUUUGGGCCUUGAAGUCUACCGACCUUUACCUCACAGGAUGGUUGAUGGUAAAUUCUAAGCCAACGUGCCUGUAGUUUGACAAGGGUGUUAGGUUCAAAUUGAAUCAUGUCUGAUUACUUUGGGCAGUGAGUCACUUCUUGAGUGAAUCAUCGUGCCUCAAAUAAGAUAGACUGUUUCAUUAAAACAAUAAAGUUAUUUUUUGUGGUGAAGUAAUGAAGUUAAAAUAGACUCUCUGCAUUUGAUUUCACAAUCUUGAUGAAUAAGAUCACCCAUUGUGUAAUAUAUUGAUCCACAGGAUCACUCAUUUCAUUUUGGAUUUCACAAUGUUCUCAGAGUUAGCAAGAUGCUCAGCUUGAUGGAAUAGCCUUUUAUAGGGAGACACCUUGGUUAUAUUGAUUGAUAAAAUCAAAUAAAAACAAUUACUAUGCUUUUGUUAGUCCGCAUGAUAAAUAGAGUACCAGAUAUAAGUAAUUAAUCUGACAGCAGAAAUUUGGUUCUGGCAAAAAAGUCCCAAAACAUUUUUAAAGAUUGUUCUGAUAGAUGGAUACCUCAAUAUCAAAAAAAAAAAAACUAUAUUAAAUGCCAUCCAAUGUACAUUUUUAACAUUUUUUUUUCUAAAGUAUUUGUUAUUUUGUAUAUUAUUAGUUUGUGCAGGUACCACGAGAACAACAUGGCCGUCACUAUUUACAGCCUCCAAUGACUAAAACCACGACCAGCCUCCUACCUCCCCCUCACACAGGCCUCCGUUGUCAUAGCAACAUGCUAUGGCGCAGCACUUAUUCGGAUUUAACCCAGACGG